This 810-nucleotide long non-coding RNA is filed under the name Equus caballus (horse). Its description in RNAcentral is "lncRNA (ENSECAG00000028276.3)". Lineage: Eukaryota; Metazoa; Chordata; Mammalia; Perissodactyla; Equidae. The record is from RNAcentral.
AACUGCCAGCACGUGCUUACCGUGUUCCUUCCUUUAUGACUGGCUGCUGUUCACUGCUGACCGACACCUGCCGAACCACAGCGCCUUCUUCUCACGGGAGAGUCUUCUGAUGUGUGUUCAGUGUUCUCCACAGCGGGCUGAAGAGGCCGGAGUUGUCAGGCAAGAGACUGACUUGUCUGCUUGUACUUGAAAUGGAUUCGAAGAAACACAUGCAUUUGUCGAGGGGAAAACGCUUUCAAGGAGAGACCAUUUGAUGCUAAAAGGACCAUUUGAUGCUCUUUUAACCCUCUUGGUUUUAUUCAACUCCUUUCAUUACUUUCUGUUCCUGGCACCUUACCGAAGGAAGAAUAUGCCAAGAGUUUGAAUGAUGAAAGAGUAUUCUAUAUUUUUAGCUAUAUUUGCAUUUUACAAGUUUAUUUGAAAGAUAGUUUUGUGCAGUUAAUCUUUUUUUCUGUUUAAAUUAUUUUGAAAAUCUUAAAAAUAUCAUUUUUAGCCUUUUAAAUAAAUAUCAAAAUGCCCAUUACAAAAGGCUUCUUCAAUUCCAUGUAAGAAUUUAACUGUAAUAUGAACCAGGCUUAGAUGACGUCUAUAAAUUAGCCCAAGAAAAUUCCUGUAAUUCCUGGCUAUGAGGUUGUUUCUGAGGGGUGGUGGAUUUCUGGUCAUCCCAUAUUUCCUCAAUGCCUCCUACUUCAAGAGUAGAAAAUAUCGAUAGCGUCGCUGCUCAUGGGCAAAGGCCCAGUUGUCCUUCAGGAUGAUCUCAGUUCUGAUGAAUAUUUGGGUCUAUGAAAAGAAAAUUAUAGAAUAUUAAAA